AUGAAAGCACAAGCCCCGGAGUUUCGGAAGGCGGCGGGAGGGCGGGGGGCCGGGGAGGGGUCGGGGCGCCGCGGAGUCAGCCAAGUGGCCGGCGAGGGGCCGCUGCCCCCCGCGCCCGCCCCGGCGCCCCCACCCGCGCGCGCGCACACACACACACACACACACACACGCGCGCGCACACGCACUCACACGCACUCACACACGCACGCACUCACUCACUCACACUCACGCCGCCGCCUCACCUCUCGCUCCGCCCGGCCGGCCCCUUCCCUGCCCCCGGCGGGACCGGCCUGCUCGCGGCGCUGGAACCACGUAGGAGGCGGCGGCCGCGGGAGUGGCGGAGUCUCCGGCCCGGCCCAGAGUGAGCGAGCAGCGGGGCUCCAGGGCGCAUCCCAAUCCCCGCAGCGCCUCCUCCGCCGCCGCCGCCUCCUCCUUCCCCUCCUCCUGGCUUCAUUCACCCUCCCAGCCGCCGCGCAGCCGCUCACUCCCGGCGCCGCUCCUCCGCUGCCGCCGCGGGCGCUGGCGGGGGCGCCGGCCCGGGCUGGGGCGCUCGCGGGCUCCGGGCUCCGGGCGGCGGCGGCUGCACAUGAUCAGGAAGCGGCCGCACCAACAGGGCGGCGGUGGCGGCGGCGGCGGCGGCGGCGGCGGCGGCGGCGGCGGCGGAGGAGGAGGAGGAGGAGGAGGAGGCGGCAGGGCCGCCGCCGCCGCCGCUCCAGCCGCGCUCCCGGCACCCGCACGUCGGCUCCCCCCGCGCCCACCCCUCCGCGCCCCCCGCGCUCCCACCGCCCGGCGCCCGGCCGCGCGCAGAGUCCCGGGCCGCAGCCACACGCCGGGCGAGGCCGGCCUCCGCGGGGGACCCCCGCCCCGGGCUCAGGGGCCGGGCGGCCCUCGCGGGGGGCGGGGGGGAGGCCCGGCCCCCCUCCGGACCCACUGGCUCCGCCGCCCUCCCGGGGGCCCGGGCUGCGCAGGGGGCGGCGGGCGAGAGGGCAGCGCGACCCCCGGCCGCCGCCGCCGCCUCCAGGGAGGGGGACGCGGGUCUCCGCACUCGCGGCCGGCCCGGCAGCCCCGCCGCUCCCCCGCCCGCUCCCGCUCCCGCUCCCGCACCCCCAGCCCGGGCGCGCCCCCUCGCCGGGCGGGCGCCCACCGGCCCGGCAGCCCCCCUGCCGUCAGUCCCUGCGCCCCGAGCGGGGGUGUCGGCCCGGGAGGCUGGAGCGGGAGAAGGCGAUGAAAUGAACAUCCUUUCCACAGCGAUGCAGUAUAGAUAUUUCCAACACAAGGACCCUUCUCCCCAGUGACAAGAGAGUUCCUUGCUAAACCAUAGUUCUGUCACCAGCACAUGUGAGUCCCUACUAAGCAUUAAUUGGUAUUUAUACUCUCAACACCUGCUUCUCUUUGAGAAGGAGACCUUUUAACAUUGUUUUUUUCUUAUUUCUAGGCAUUGGGUACAGCUUCCUACCUUCCCCUGUGCAUCUUCCUGAGAGCUGGAGAUGACGAGAUCCUCUACUUGUAUUCCCCAGUGAAAAGCUGACAACACUCUAUUGUCUGCCUACUAAUGAGCUUUCUUGUAUGGAAGAUGAUAAAGCAAAAUCUAAUCACAUCUAUGUCCCCAAACACACUUCAGGUUUGUUCACCUAGAUCUUUGGAAGGCUUCAAAAAAUUUUCACCCCAGAUGUUAAACUAGAAUCCUCUCCUUCCUCAUCACAAUGUUUCUCUCCCCCUAGAGUUAAUGGGAUGUUCUUUCCCAAGUCCUGCUCUUGCCCGAACACUACCAUCUCUACUAUAUCUUUUUUUGUUUCAUCUCUACUAUAUCUACUGACAACAUGUGCUUUCCUCCUAUGUCUGUCUUUUGAAUCUUAUGGAUUCAAUGUGGUUCUUUAAAUAGGUGAUUGUAGGAUGGAGAGGAAGAAAGAGGAGAAGAGAGGUAGAGUCACUGCAUAGGCCAGACCACCUGG
Molecule: long non-coding RNA, 1952 nt
Filed under: Canis lupus familiaris (dog)
Lineage: Eukaryota; Metazoa; Chordata; Mammalia; Carnivora; Canidae
Description: lncRNA (ENSCAFG00845024605.1)
Source: RNAcentral